Molecule: non-coding RNA, 100 nt
Filed under: uncultured Lachnospira sp.
Lineage: Bacteria; Bacillati; Bacillota; Clostridia; Lachnospirales; Lachnospiraceae
Description: THF riboswitch
Rfam family: THF (Tetrahydrofolate) riboswitch aptamer
About the family: THF riboswitch presents a pseudoknot that joins P1-P2 and the loop of P3 and two THF binding.
Source: RNAcentral
GCAGAGUAGAAUUGUGCGCGUUAAGUGCCCAGUGAACAGGGAGUUGUCAUUGGGACGAAGAGUGAAAUUAUCUUGCGGUGCAUGGUUCGCAUCCCGCUGC